GGCUGUGAGGGUGAUCUGGCUGCGACAUUUGUCACCCUUUUGAUGGCCAGGGUUGAUUUAGGCUGAUCUGGCUGGCUAGGCGCGUGUCCUUUCCUCCCUCCCUGCUCCACGUGCAUGCCUCCUGAAGCUGCGUACUGGGCCGGAGAGGAUGACUGUCCCGAUGGAGGGGGACGGUCUUUGGUCAAGGGUAUAUGAGUAGCUGCGCUCCCCUGCCAGAACCUCCAAACAAGCUCUCAAAUUACUAAAUUAUCAGGAACUAAUAUCUUUGGAGAAUAUUUUCUAAUCUUUCCAGAGGUGUUUUUGUG
Molecule: small nuclear RNA, 305 nt
Filed under: Piliocolobus tephrosceles (Ugandan red Colobus)
Lineage: Eukaryota; Metazoa; Chordata; Mammalia; Primates; Cercopithecidae
Description: 7SK RNA (ENSPTEG00000028336.1)
Rfam family: 7SK RNA
About the family: 7SK was discovered as an abundant small nuclear RNA in the mid-70s but a possible function has only recently been suggested.
Source: Rfam by way of RNAcentral